CGCCGCGCGGGGGGGCGGGGCCAGAGUCGCCUGAGGGAAGGCGCCGCCGCGCGGGGGGGGGCGGGGCCGGCGGGAGGGGGGCGGGGCUUGGAGGGGCUUGGGGGCGGGGCCUGGCGCGGGGGCGAGGAGCGGCGCAGAUUCACCAUUGGAACCGAAGUGGGAGGGCCCGUUCCAAGUGCUGCUGACUUCUCACACUGCUAUCAAGAUAAAAGAACAAGCUCCCUGGAUUCAUCACACCCAGGUUAAGAAGGUGCAGAAGCCAUCCUGGACGGUUAAGCAAACAGGACUGCUCCGACUAUCGCUCAAGAAACAGAAUGAUUAAUGUUUUGUUUGUAGUAUGGGGUUUAGGGGUUGCCAGGGCAUGGGAAGGAAAUCUACAUUUUAACAACACCGAAGGAAUGGGGAAUGCCUUAAAUCUGUCCUCGUGCUGGACUUGCACAGCCCUCCCCAGAGGGAAUGUGGAAUCUCCCCUUUUUGGAGUUCCGGUGUCCUACGCAAACUGGAGUUGGCCAUAUGACAACCUAAAAAAUGCUACCCUGCCUUCUGGGGAAAGCCUGCUCUGGAGGGUGGGGGAAUCCUGCCCUCCAGGACAGCAACUAAGCAAACUUCCAAAUGGGGAGACCCUUUGUUGGGGCUUCUCGUCACCCUUACCAGCAAGAGGAACCCCGCUGCCGUCUUACACUUGCGGAAACAACAGCAUUCAUGCUCUUAAAUUUCAGUUGCAGGAACUGGGAAAAACAAUAUUUAUACAAAGGAAGAAUGACACUGCCCCAAGAGUGGGGCACUUUAAAUUAAGUGCUCUUAAUGGAGCAACCAUAUGCAGCAAGGAUACCCAGUCAAACUCGUCAGGAUGCCCGGCACCAAUCAUGGCAGGACUACAACUCAAUUACUCCUACAGCUGUGUCCCAGAUGGAUUAUGGUGGUUAUGUGGGGAUGGCCAUGCCAGAAAAUCCUUGCCAGACCACUGGGAUGGGACCUGUACCUUGGGGUAUGUUAUCCCUCAAGGCAGAGUGUUUAAUCAGACAAGGCCACCAGCAGGAUUAUUGAGGACAUUGUGGAAAAGGAGUAAGUGACACCUUCCAACCCGCAGUCGAUAGGCCAACGGGUUAUCACAGCUUUCUGCGUUGGCUCAUGCUGUCUCCAGGAGUGAGUGAAUUAGAAAAGGCAUUAGUAAGUAUUUCCGCCACAUUGGAGAAAAAAAGACAAUUUUACCAUAGACUGAGAGCAUUGCAGGUUGAAGUGAGCUCUCUAAGUACUGUAGGACUGCAAAAUCAAAUGGCAUUAGACUUGUUGAUGGUCAAAGAAGGCAGAGUGUGCACUGUAAUCAAAGUUGUCAUACAUAAAACAAGACAAAAGAAUCAAGACAGAUCGUGAGAAAGUUUGGGAACAAUCAAAACUCUUCCAUCUAGCACCAAUGGAUGAUACCAUGUGGGGUUUUACAGACAUUUGGGAUAAGCUUACCAGGUGGUUACCUAAUUUCAGGAUCAAGCAGCUUUCCCUCGCUUGCAUUGCUAUGUUAUUUCUUGAGAUUUUUAUAUUCUGUAUUUUAUACUGUUUUCUUUUCCUAUGUCAUCAAACCGGGCGUACCUACAAAGAAUGGAAGAAGCACAGGCUGAGGCAAAGGACAGAAGAAGGGAAGGAUUUUCUAGAUAGAAAUGGAAUAAUCUGUCAAGAAGCUGCUAGAUUAAAAAGGAGGAAUUGAGAGAAAGAAAGACCAAUUAAUGUCCUUGUAGCAAGGGGCCCAGAACUGAACCCAGCACUCGAGGUGUGGCCUCACCAGCGCAGAGCACAGGGGAACCAUCACCUCCCUGCUGCUGCUGGCUGCGCUGCUCCUGAUGCAAGCCGGGGUGCCACUGGGCUAAGAAGCCUCCUAUGUGGGGAGGGCGCGGGGGUGUGCUUUAUUGGUAAAUAAAGAUGGGAGCUCAAAAA
Molecule: non-coding RNA, 1929 nt
Organism: Anas platyrhynchos (mallard)
Lineage: Eukaryota; Metazoa; Chordata; Aves; Anseriformes; Anatidae
Source: RefSeq, a predicted model, not a curated record